CAGGGAGACAACAAAAUGUUUAAUAUUAUUAUUUUGUCACCUUAGGUCGAUCGGUAUCUCACAUUCUUAAUUUAUUAAGGAUUUCAUUUCCUAAGUUUUUCUAGGUCACACCCAUUAUUUUUCCUGGGCCAUUAGCUCAGGUGGUUAGAGCGCACCCCUGAUAAGGGUGAGGUCCCUGGUUCAAGUCCAGGAUGGCCCAUACUCUAUGUUGGGGGUAUAGCUCAGUUGGUAGAGCGCCUGCUUUGCAAGCAGGAUGUCAGCGGUUCGAGUCCGCUUACCUCCACUGAUUACCACCUCUUCCAUAAUCUGUAGAAAGGAAAAUUUUUGAGUUGUGAUCAUAAAUCUGAACGAAUCUAGCUUCCUAAUGAAACAUUAAGAUGCUGGACUCAUCGAAUUAAUUUCAUUGUUUUCAGAGAACCUUGACAACUGCAUAGAUUAUUUUUAAAGACAAUAAGCAUCUUUAUGAUGCAGAUUUAUUAUUUGUGCGAAUGCAUUAAUAACAAUUCUAUUAAGCUGAUGCUUCAAUUUUGAAGUUAUU
This 538-nucleotide transfer RNA is filed under the name uncultured cyanobacterium. RNAcentral describes it as "partial contains 16S ribosomal RNA, 16S-23S ribosomal RNA intergenic spacer, and 23S ribosomal RNA". The stretch from base 211 to 283 matches the Rfam family "tRNA". The record is from RNAcentral. Lineage: Bacteria; Bacillati; Cyanobacteriota.